RNAcentral lists this ribosomal RNA (406 nucleotides) under uncultured bacterium. RNAcentral describes it as "partial 16S ribosomal RNA". It matches the Rfam family "Bacterial small subunit ribosomal RNA", at positions 29 to 526 of the family's 1533-position model. The record is from RNAcentral.
AUUGAACGCUGGCGGCAGGCCUAACACAUGCAAGUCGAACGAGUGGCGGACGGGUGAGUAAUGUCUGGGAAACUGCCUGAUGGAGGGGGAUAACUACUGGAAACGGUAGCUAAUACCGCAUACCAUCAGAUGGGCCCAGAUGGGAUUAGCUAGUGGGUGGGGUAACGGCUCACCAAGGCGACGAUCCCUAGCUGGUCCGAGAGGAUGAACAGCCACACGGGAACGGAGACACGGUCCAGACUCCUACGGGAGGCAGCAGUGGGGAAUAUUGCACAAUGGGCGCAAGCCUGAUGCAGCAAUGCCGCGUGUAUGAAGAAGGCCUUCGGGUUGUAAAGUACUUUCAGCGGGGAGGCGUUACCCGCAGAAGAAGCACCGGCUAACUCCGUGCCAGCAGCCGCGGUAAUUC